This 253-nucleotide ribosomal RNA is filed under the name uncultured bacterium. Its description in RNAcentral is "partial 16S ribosomal RNA". It matches the Rfam family "Bacterial small subunit ribosomal RNA", at positions 524 to 776 of the family's 1533-position model. The record is from RNAcentral.
AACGUAGGACACGAGCGUUAUCCGGAGUUACUGGGCGUAAAGGGCGGGUAGGUGGUGCGAUAAGACUGGUGUGAAAGCCUUCGGCUUAACCGAGGGAGGACACUGGUGACUGUCGGACUUGAGGCAGAUAGAGGGGUGUAGAAUUCCGGGUGUAGUGGUGAAAUGCGUAGAGAUCCGGAGGAACACCGACGGCGUAGGCAGCGCCCUGGACGACACCUGACGCUGAGGCACGAAAGCUGGGGGAGCGAACAGG